UUAAGCGACUAAGCGUACACGGUGGAUGCCCUGGCAGUCAGAGGCGAUGAAGGACGUGCUAAUCUGCGAUAAGCGUCGGUAAGGUGAUAUGAACCGUUAUAACCGGCGAUUUCCGAAUGGGGAAACCCAGUGUGAUUCGUCACACUAUCAUUAACUGAAUCCAUAGGUUAAUGAGGCGAACCGGGGGAACUGAAACAUCUAAGUACCCCGAGGAAAAGAAAUCAACCGAGAUUCCCCCAGUAGCGGCGAGCGAACGGGGAGCAGCCCAGAGCCUGAAUCAGUGUGUGUGUUAGUGGAAGCGUCUGGAAAGGCGUGCGAUACAGGGUGACAGCCCCGUACACAAAAAUGCACAUGCUGUGAGCUCGAUGAGUAGGGCGGGACACGUGGUAUCCUGUCUGAAUAUGGGGGGACCAUCCUCCAAGGCUAAAUACUCCUGACUGACCGAUAGUGAACCAGUACCGUGAGGGAAAGGCGAAAAGAACCCCGGCGAGGGGAGUGAAAAAGAACCUGAAACCGUGUACGUACAAGCAGUGGGAGCACAGAGCAAUCUGUGUGACUGCGUACCUUUUGUAUAAUGGGUCAGCGACUUAUAUUCUGUAGCAAGGUUAACCGAAUAGGGGAGCCGAAGGGAAACCGAGUCUUAACUGGGCGUUAAGUUGCAGGGUAUAGACCCGAAACCCGGUGAUCUAGCCAUGGGCAGGUUGAAGGUUGGGUAACACUAACUGGAGGACCGAACCGACUAAUGUUGAAAAAUUAGCGGAUGACUUGUGGCUGGGGGUGAAAGGCCAAUCAAACCGGGAGAUAGCUGGUUCUCCCCGAAAGCUAUUUAGGUAGCGCCUCGUGAAUUCAUCUCCGGGGGUAGAGCACUGUUUCGGCAAGGGGGUCAUCCCGACUUACCAACCCGAUGCAAACUGCGAAUACCGGAGAAUGUUAUCACGGGAGACACACGGCGGGUGCUAACGUCCGUCGUGAAGAGGGAAACAACCCAGACCGCCAGCUAAGGUCCCAAAGUCAUGGUUAAGUGGGAAACGAUGUGGGAAGGCCCAGACAGCCAGGAUGUUGGCUUAGAAGCAGCCAUCAUUUAAAGAAAGCGUAAUAGCUCACUGGUCGAGUCGGCCUGCGCGGAAGAUGUAACGGGGCUAAACCAUGCACCGAAGCUGCGGCAGCGACGCUUAUGCGUUGUUGGGUAGGGGAGCGUUCUGUAAGCCUGCGAAGGUGUGCUGUGAGGCAUGCUGGAGGUAUCAGAAGUGCGAAUGCUGACAUAAGUAACGAUAAAGCGGGUGAAAAGCCCGCUCGCCGGAAGACCAAGGGUUCCUGUCCAACGUUAAUCGGGGCAGGGUGAGUCGACCCCUAAGGCGAGGCCGAAAGGCGUAGUCGAUGGGAAACAGGUUAAUAUUCCUGUACUUGGUGUUACUGCGAAGGGGGGACGGAGAAGGCUAUGUUGGCCGGGCGACGGUUGUCCCGGUUUAAGCGUGUAGGCUGGUUUUCCAGGCAAAUCCGGAAAACUAAGGCUGAGGCGUGAUGACGAGGCACUACGGUGCUGAAGCAACAAAUGCCCUGCUUCCAGGAAAAGCCUCUAAGCAUCAGGUAACAUCAAAUCGUACCCCAAACCGACACAGGUGGUCAGGUAGAGAAUACCAAGGCGCUUGAGAGAACUCGGGUGAAGGAACUAGGCAAAAUGGUGCCGUAACUUCGGGAGAAGGCACGCUGAUAUGUAGGUGAAGCGACUUGCUCGUGGAGCUGAAAUCAGUCGAAGAUACCAGCUGGCUGCAACUGUUUAUUAAAAACACAGCACUGUGCAAACACGAAAGUGGACGUAUACGGUGUGACGCCUGCCCGGUGCCGGAAGGUUAAUUGAUGGGGUCAGCGCAAGCGAAGCUCUUGAUCGAAGCCCCGGUAAACGGCGGCCGUAACUAUAACGGUCCUAAGGUAGCGAAAUUCCUUGUCGGGUAAGUUCCGACCUGCACGAAUGGCGUAAUGAUGGCCAGGCUGUCUCCACCCGAGACUCAGUGAAAUUGAACUCGCUGUGAAGAUGCAGUGUACCCGCGGCAAGACGGAAAGACCCCGUGAACCUUUACUAUAGCUUGACACUGAACAUUGAGCCUUGAUGUGUAGGAUAGGUGGGAGGCUUUGAAGUGUGGACGCCAGUCUGCAUGGAGCCGACCUUGAAAUACCACCCUUUAAUGUUUGAUGUUCUAACGUUGACCCGUAAUCCGGGUUGCGGACAGUGUCUGGUGGGUAGUUUGACUGGGGCGGUCUCCUCCUAAAGAGUAACGGAGGAGCACGAAGGUUGGCUAAUCCUGGUCGGACAUCAGGAGGUUAGUGCAAUGGCAUAAGCCAGCUUGACUGCGAGCGUGACGGCGCGAGCAGGUGCGAAAGCAGGUCAUAGUGAUCCGGUGGUUCUGAAUGGAAGGGCCAUCGCUCAACGGAUAAAAGGUACUCCGGGGAUAACAGGCUGAUACCGCCCAAGAGUUCAUAUCGACGGCGGUGUUUGGCACCUCGAUGUCGGCUCAUCACAUCCUGGGGCUGAAGUAGGUCCCAAGGGUAUGGCUGUUCGCCAUUUAAAGUGGUACGCGAGCUGGGUUUAGAACGUCGUGAGACAGUUCGGUCCCUAUCUGCCGUGGGCGCUGGAGAACUGAGGGGGGCUGCUCCUAGUACGAGAGGACCGGAGUGGACGCAUCACUGGUGUUCGGGUUGUCAUGCCAAUGGCACUGCCCGGUAGCUAAAUGCGGAAGAGAUAAGUGCUGAAAGCAUCUAAGCACGAAACUUGCCCCGAGAUGAGUUCUCCCUGACUCCUUGAGAGUCCUGAAGGAACGUUGAAGACGACGACGUUGAUAGGCCGGGUGUGUAAGCGCAGCGAUGCGUUGAGCUAACCGGUACUAAUGAACCGUGAGGCUUAACCUU
Molecule: ribosomal RNA, 2904 nt
Filed under: Escherichia coli
Lineage: Bacteria; Pseudomonadati; Pseudomonadota; Gammaproteobacteria; Enterobacterales; Enterobacteriaceae
Description: bacterial LSU rRNA
Rfam family: Bacterial large subunit ribosomal RNA
Source: RNAcentral